CGAACGGUAACAGGAAGCAGCUUGCUGCUUCGCUGACGAGUGGCGGACGGGUGAGUAAUGUCUGGGAAACUGCCUGAUGGAGGGGGAUAACUACUGGAAACGGUAGCUAACACCGCAUAACGUCGCAAGACCAAAGAGGGGGACCUUCGGGCCUCUUGCCAUCGGAUGUGCCCAGAUGGGAUUAGCUAGUAAGUGGGGUAACGGCUCACCUAGGCGACGAUCCCUAGCUGGUCUGAGAGGAUGACCGGCCACACUGGAACUGAGACACGGUCCAGACUCCUACGGGAGGCAGCAGUGGGGAAUAUUGCACAAUGGGCGCAAGCCUUAUGCAGCCAUGCCGCGUGUAUGAAGAAGGCCUUCGGGUUGUUAAGUACUUUCAGCGGGGAGGAAGGCGACAGGGUUAAUAACCCUGUCGAUUGACGUUACCCGCAGAAGAAGCACCGGCUAACUCCGUGCCAGCAGCCGCGGUAAUACGGAGGGUGCAAGCGUUAAUCGGAAUUACUGGGCGUAAAGCGCACGCAGGCGGUCUGUCAAGUCGGAUGUGAAAUCCCCGGGCUCAACCUGGGAACUGCAUUCGAAACUGGCAGGCUAGAGUCUUGUAGAGGGGGGUAGAAUUCCAGGUGUAGCGGUGAAAUGCGUAGAGAUCUGGAGGAAUACCGGUGGCGAAGGCGGCCCCCUGGACAAAGACUGACGCUCAGGUGCGAAAGCGUGGGGAGCAAA
RNAcentral lists this ribosomal RNA (720 nucleotides) under uncultured Enterobacterales bacterium. Its description in RNAcentral is "bacterial SSU rRNA". It matches the Rfam family "Bacterial small subunit ribosomal RNA", at positions 63 to 772 of the family's 1533-position model. Lineage: Bacteria; Pseudomonadati; Pseudomonadota; Gammaproteobacteria; Enterobacterales. The record is from RNAcentral.